UCUCCGUUGGUGAACCAGCGGAGGGAUCAUUAAAGAAUUUCAAAACUCCUAAACCAUUGUGAACAUACCGUCAACGUUACUUCGGCGAUUUGGCUCCGGUCUCCUGGGUCCCCGGCCCUCACGGGCGCCCCCCGGCGGCACCUAUCUCUUGCACUUUUAUGUCCUCUCUGAGUCUUUCUACCUAAUAAGUCAAAACUUUCAACAACGGAUCUCUUGGUUCUG
Molecule: unclassified non-coding RNA, 222 nt
Filed under: plant metagenome
Description: partial contains small subunit ribosomal RNA, internal transcribed spacer 1, and 5.8S ribosomal RNA
Source: RNAcentral